CUCUAUCGUCUAUUACUGGGCGUAAGCGCACUGCUAGGCGGUCUCGUCAAGUCGGAUGUGAAAUCCCCGGGCUCAACCUGGGAACUGCAUUCUUAACUGGCGAGCUAGAGUCUUGUAGAGGGGGGUAGAAUUCCAGGUGUAGCGGUGAAAUGCGUAGAGAUCUGGAGGAAUACCGGUGGCGAAGGCGGCCCCCUGGAAUAAGACUGACGCUCAGACGCGAAAGCGUGGGGAGCAAACAGGAUUAGAUACCCUGGUAGUCCACGCCGUAAACGAUGUCGAUUUGCUGUUGGUGCCGUUGAGGCUUGGCUUCCGGAGCUAACGCGUUAGAUCAACGGCCGGGGAAGUACGGCCGCAGAGUUAAAACUCAAAUGAUUUGACGGGACCCGCACCAACCGUGGAAGAUGGUGAUUAAAUUCAUGGCACGGGGAAGAACCUUACCUGGUCUUGAUGCCUGGGAUGUUUCCAAAAAUUGGUUGUGCUCUUCGGAAACUGUGAGACAGGUGCUGCAUGGCUGUCGUCAGCUCGUGUUCGUGAGAUGUUGGGUUAAGUCCCGCAACGAGCGCAACCCUUAUCAUUAGUUGCUAGCGCAUCAGGACUGUAACUAAACUGACACUGACAGUGAUGACUGGAUGAAGGAUGACGAUGACGUCCUCAUCGUCAUGACGGUUACGACUUCGCAUGUCACCUGCGACCAUGACAUAUGCUCGCGACGCGACCUCGCGAGACCAUCUGAAAUCACAGAUCGUAGUCCUGAUCGGAUCGGAGUCUGCACUCGACUCGUCGAAUCGCAUCGAUCGCAGAUCAGAUCGCACGCUAAGCAUUCCGGUCCCAGAGAUAAA
RNAcentral lists this ribosomal RNA (839 nucleotides) under Klebsiella pneumoniae. Its description in RNAcentral is "bacterial SSU rRNA". It matches the Rfam family "Bacterial small subunit ribosomal RNA", at positions 539 to 1389 of the family's 1533-position model. Lineage: Bacteria; Pseudomonadati; Pseudomonadota; Gammaproteobacteria; Enterobacterales; Enterobacteriaceae. The record is from RNAcentral. RNAcentral also lists the same sequence under 1 other name.